RNAcentral lists this transfer RNA (65 nucleotides) under Evacanthus heimianus. RNAcentral describes it as "tRNA-Ala". Lineage: Eukaryota; Metazoa; Arthropoda; Insecta; Hemiptera; Cicadellidae. The record is from RNAcentral.
AGGAUUAUAUUUAAUUAUAAUAUUUAAUUUGCAGUUAAAAGGUGUUUUUUUUAAAACUAAUCUUU